RNAcentral lists this transfer-messenger RNA (399 nucleotides) under Chryseobacterium sp. SNU WT5. It matches the Rfam family "transfer-messenger RNA". Rfam says of the family: Bacterial tmRNA, also known as 10Sa RNA or SsrA, is named for its dual tRNA and mRNA-like properties. Its role is to liberate the mRNA from a stalled ribosome. To accomplish this part of the tmRNA is used as a reading frame that ends in a translation stop signal. The record is from RNAcentral. RNAcentral also lists the same sequence under 1 other name. Lineage: Bacteria; Pseudomonadati; Bacteroidota; Flavobacteriia; Flavobacteriales; Weeksellaceae.
GGGGUUGACUGGUUUCGACAGCAAGAUCGAUGGAUAAGUAAGCAUGCAGAGAACCGUAGCGCGAUCUCUUAAAUCCCUUGCUACAAACUUUUAACUGGCAACGAAGAGUUCGCUCUUGCAGCUUAAUCUGAAUAAAGUAGGAUUCAAGCGCUCUCCCGAAGAUAGUAAGGAGGCAAGAUGUCUCACAAAUGCUCCGUUCUGCGGCGUUUGAUUCUGAGGCAUAGCAAUGCAGAAAUAAGUCUCGAAAGACUUCGGUUCGAGAUCGAAAACUAAAGAAGUUAAGUCGGUGAUUGGGUGUCUGUUCUCUGUCUCCGGUCGAAAAUCAAUAGCAGAAUAAGCAUGUAGAAGCCUUAUGUGUUGCUUGUUUGGACGAGGGUUCGAAUCCCUCCAACUCCACUA